UUGAUCCUGGCUCAGGACGAACGCUGGCGGCGUGCCUAAUACAUGCAAGUCGAACGCUUUGAUUUUCACCGGAGCUUGCUCCACCGAAAAUCAAAGAGUGGCGGACGGGUGAGUAACACGUGGGCAACCUGCCCAACAGAGGGGGAUAACACUUGGAAACAGGUGCUAAUACCGCAUAAUUUGUUUUCCCGCAUGGGAGAAUAAUAAAAGACGCUUCGGUGUCACUGUUGGAUGGGCCCGCGCUGCAUUAGUUAGUUGGUGGGGUAAUGGCCUACCAAGACCGUGAUGCAUAGCCGACCUGAGAGGGUGAUCGGCCACACUGGGACUGAGACACGGCCCAGACUCCUACGGGAGGCAGCAGUAGGGAAUCUUCGGCAAUGGACGAAAGUCUGACCGAGCAACGCCGCGUGAGUGAAGAAGUUUUCGGAUCGUAAAACUCUGUUGUUAGAGAAGAACAAGUGGGAGAGUAACUGUUCCCACCUUGACGGUAUCUAACCAGAAAGCCACGGCUAACUAC
RNAcentral lists this ribosomal RNA (517 nucleotides) under Vagococcus sp. AER No. 106. RNAcentral's name for it is "bacterial SSU rRNA". It matches the Rfam family "Bacterial small subunit ribosomal RNA", at positions 13 to 504 of the family's 1533-position model. The record is from RNAcentral. Lineage: Bacteria; Bacillati; Bacillota; Bacilli; Lactobacillales; Enterococcaceae.